RNAcentral lists this ribosomal RNA (512 nucleotides) under uncultured bacterium. RNAcentral describes it as "partial 16S ribosomal RNA". It matches the Rfam family "Bacterial small subunit ribosomal RNA", at positions 28 to 507 of the family's 1533-position model. The record is from RNAcentral.
GAUGAACGCUGGCGGCGUGCCUAAUACAUGCAAGUCGAACGAAACUUCUUUAUCACCGAGUGCUUGCACUCACCGAUAAAGAGUUGAGUGGCGAACGGGUGAGUAACACGUGGGCAACCUGCCCAAAAGAGGGGGAUAACACUUGGAAACAGGUGCUAAUACCGCAUAACCAUAGUUACCGCAUGGUAACUAUGUAAAAGGUGGCUAUACUACCGCUUUUGGAUGGGCCCGCGGCGCAUUAGCUAGUUGGUAGGGUAAAGGCUUACCAAGGCAAUGAUGCGUAGCCGAAUUGAGAGGUUGAUCGGCCACAUUGGGACUGAGACACGGCCCAAACUCCUACGGGAGGCAGCAGUAGGGAAUCUUCCACAAUGGGCGAAAGCCUGAUGGAGCAACGCCGCGUGGGUGAAGAUGGUCUUCGGAUCGUAAAACCCUGUUGUUAGGGAAGAAAGUGCGUGAGAGUAACUGUUCACGUUUCGACGGUAUCUAACCAGAAAGCCACGGCUAACUACGUG